UCGAAGGUGAGGAGAUAGAGAAGAACAUAAAGAAGGGAGAGAAGGAAGGGCAGGGGCGCGGCGGCCUCGACGGUGAACCUCCGGUGGCGACGGUCUCCGGCGAGAGGCAGCGCACGGCACCAGCGCGAGCCUAUGGGGCGGCGGCGGCUUGGAGCUGCGGCUGCCAUCCAAACGUAUCCAAAAUGCCCGAUGUCGCCAAAGGUUGUGCAUAUUGGGAAUCUUGUUGGGAAUCAUCAUUAUGUCAAAAUGGUUCUGAUCUGCUAUGUCUCUAUCACCUCCUUAAUAGAAAAUCUCAAUGAGCAAAACAAGACUGCAAGAAGGAGAACUCAACGAGAGGAUAGCGAAGCUGGCCGGUGGUGUCACUGUCAUUCAGGUGGGAGGACGAACAUAAACUGAACUUAAAGAGAAGUUGGGAGGUGAGGAUGCUCUCGUGCAACUAGGUGAGUCAAUCAAUGUUUUGUCAUUGAACAUUUCGAGUUGUCAACUUUAUGUUUGCUUUUCAAAGAAGCAGAAUUAAGUCAAUUAGUUUGUUGCUUCCUUAAACCUUCUGAAUUGCUUCUUCUUUUCGCACGCUGCCGCUGAGUAAGGUAUUGUUGUUGGUGGAGUGUGCACUCUUUUCAAAUUGGCUGCUAAAAGUUGAUGUGUCAAGGAUACCUUGGUUGCAUAAGGUAAAAUAAACGAAUGGCAUUGCCCUAAUACUCGCAGCCAACACGGUCCACCACAUGUGGGUCACAAACAAUCAUGUUGAACCAUUGAGCAUUUUAGUUUUUCCAUUCAAAAUGAUUGCGAAGAAUGUCGGUGUCAAUGGCAGCAUUGUUACCGAGAAGGUUCGAUCUCAUUUACUAAUAUGAAGUUGAUAUAUUUCUGCAUAGAUCUAAAUAACAUAAAAGAUGAUGUCGUACCAGGUUCUUUCUAGCUGCAAGCAUGCAAUCCUUCUGUUCGGUAGUACGAGGACUUAAUGGCUGCUGGUAUCAUCGACCACAAUAAAGUUUAUAGCCACGUAGCUACCCAACACAGUUUCUUGCUUGCCAUUCUGAAAUAGAUACAAUUGCGCAGUUAGGGUGAUGAUGCAACUUGUGGGAUCAUUUAUUCCACCUUUUUUAAUUGGGGCUGCAUUAUAUAUUUUAUAGGCAGAACAGCCAUUUUUCUUUUGGGAGAUUUAGUCUUACUACUUUGGAAUAAAAGUGUCCAGAUCUAAUCUUAUUAUCACCUUGCAUUUUAUCCAAUGUAUAUUUGGGAUGCCCCAUGUCUAUUUACAUCAUUGCUAUCUUUUGCCACUUUAUCCAAUGUAUGAAUUAUCUUAUCUUUGGUCCACUUUGCAAUUUUAAAUGAUGUAUAAUCUGGAAAAAAUGAUCUCCGCUCUGUGGGCUCAAGUGAGCUUAAGCUGAUCGUCCACUUGCAUCUGAUGGUAACAGGGUAAGAUGUAUGCAUAACUUCAAUUCUUCUCUUGCAUCUGCUCGGAACUUACAUAUUGGUUGUGUGUAAAUUCAUAUCAGAAAUCAUUUUGCAUAAAAACAUUUUUUAUCGAGGCCAGACACCGAUUCUUCAUCUGGUUGUUGGAUCACAGUGAUGUCUCACUUUUUAAAAUACAAUUUGAACGACAUGCUAUUUUGUAUCCAUUUAAUUUAUUUAUUUGCAAAACAUAUUUUAGUUUUAUACCACGUGAACUCACUUGAUCAACGUUUGAAACGUGCGUUGCACGUACAUGCUUACUAGACAAUUGAGUGAUGAGCAGUGCAUGACGAUAAUGGUGUUGUGUGGGCCAAUGGAGUGAAAGGAAAUGUUGUGGCGAUUUUUUUUUAAAAAUGCCGAUAUAUUAAUUUAUGUAUCUAUAUAUCUAUACUAGACAAUUGCCCGUGCGUUGCAACGGGAGUAUAAACAUUCUAAUAAAUUAGCCUGUGACUGCACGUCUAUUAUUAUAUUGAUGCGCUAAAAUCUUAGCAAGUUCUUCUAUGCAAUCACCAUGAUUUACCUGCCAUUUUAUUGUUAAGCACUUAUUUGGUAAGAAUUUAAUGAAUUACCAAACAAAAUAUGUUUUUAUUUUGGUAAGUUAAUAAAACAUGAGACAAUUGAUUAUAUUUUAGUGAGAAUUUAUGGGAGAAAAAUUAGAGGUGAGAGGAAAAAUCAAAGAGAAGGAAAGAGUGGGACGUAUAUAAGAAAGGUUGGACGAAAGAGAGGUGAAAUGGGAACCUUACGUUCUUUUUAAGUAGUAUAAGUAGAGAAAGAGGAGAAGGAAAGAGUGGAACGUGUAUAAGAAAGGUUGGACGAAAGAGAGGUGAAAUGAGAACCUUAUGUUCUUUUUAAGUAGUAGAGAAAGAGGAGAAGGAAAGAGUGCAACGUAUAUAAGAAAGGUUGGACAAAAGAGAGGUGAAAUGAAAACCUUACGUUUUUUUAAGUAGUAGAGAAAGAGGAGAAGGAAAGAGUGGAACGUAUAUAAGAAAGGUUGGACGAAAGAGAGGUGAAAUGAGAACCUUACGUUCUUUUUAAGUAGUAGAGAUACCAUUAUAAAAAUACCAAAGGCCAUAUCUAAUUAAUCUCGGCCGUCAAACCAUGUUAAUCCAACGAUCUAGAUUGUUUCAAUGAUGAGCGUUUAAGAUGUUUAACGCGCAAUUAAUACCCUACCAAAUAUCAAUGGCUCUGCUAACCAUAUAAUUAAUGUGUACUAAUUGAUAUCCUACCAGUAGCAAUAUUAGCAUGCAUUGCAAAUACACAUUUACUAGUUAAUUAAAAGGUUCCUAUAAAUACGCCACGUAGUGUGAAACACUAUUAAGAAAAACAUCAUCCAACCUACUACAAAAUGAAAAUUUCCCAAUCUCAUGAGUCACCACAUUGGCUUGACGAUUGAGAAGCUUAGUGAUGCUCAUCGCUGUCUUCUUUAGACAAGAGGAAAAUGUCAAAUUUUAAUUUGCAAGAAAAAAAGCACAAAAGCCAGAUACCAACCAGCCUUCUAGAAGUUUGGUGCCCAGGAGCCUACAAGAAGACCGUUGUCCACUUGCGCAAUUCGACUAGUCAAAACUCAUGAGCCCAAAAGUUAUUGGUCUUUACCAAAGAUCACCAUCAUGGUGGCGUUGACACUCUGACAAAAGGAUCUAUGAAUCUUGGCUCUGGAGAUGGGUCGACAAUUCGAUGGUGGCGGUGGCUUCUGGAGCGUGUGCAUGCGAUGCGGUCAGCUGGGCUGGAUGUGUGCUCCCGGUACGCCAUGCAGGCGACUCUAUGAUGACCUUAGAUAUAACUAGUGGGGCAUUCUAAUGGCAUCCCCAUUGUCGAUUUUGUAGGUGUGACAUGGUGGCUUCGGGUUGUCUGAUAUAUGUUUUUAUUAGAUCUUUGUUGAAUAAUUUAAUAAAGAAGGUUGUGUGCAUCUUUUCAUGCACAUGCCUAGGGUUUUAACCUCUUCAAAAAAGUAAAAUCCAUCGGAAUUUGGUCAAAACCGGUAUCUCAUGAAACUUUCCUCGAAAGCCAAUGUCCUAAGUUAGUACUCGAAAUUUCUGAGUAGAGAAAUUCACGAUGUGCAAAAGCUAAUAGUGUUGUUCGCUCGAGUUUUGGCCAAGUCCAAAAUGCCUUGGGAGUUGGUAAGCUAAGGUUUUUUUUACCCCCAAACCGUAGAACAAUAGUUUUAUGGUAAUUUUCACUAAUAAUAAAAAUAUAUGUACAAACAGGUAAAUAAAACAUUCACAAAUCAACUACCCAACUCAUGUUUUCUCUAACAUGAUAAAUGUGUUAUCUUAUGAGAACUAUGAAAAGAGGGAGCUCAUCCAUUGCUCUAGGCAGGCAAUGUUCUUUCUUUUAGUUGUACGCUUGACCAGAGACAGAUCUUGAUGUAGUCCAUGCUUCCAGGCUUCCAGACUUGGGAGGGUAUUGUUGAAGAUCUUUCCAUUCAUUUGCAUCCAUAUGUUCCAGCAUCCGAAAAUAACGAUAUCCAUGGCAAUCUAUGGUGGGAAGACUUGCUUGAGGAAGAUAAUGUCAUCAAAAGCAGAUACUCCUCUGUGUCUAUUUGGUGCAAUGAUGUCCCAGCAUGAGAGUGCAAACUCGCAGUCCCAGAGUGAUGUGCCACUGAAGGACCCAUCAUAUUUUAUACAUCUUGCUGACAGAAAGUAUACCAGACUUCCACUCAAAUGUCCAUAUAUCAGCAGUGUUUCCAAGUUGCUGCACAAUUGAUGUUAGUUCAUUCAGUUGCUGGAAGGCAACUGUGUUAGACUAUAUAUAUACGAGGACUCUUGUAUACACAUGUAUUUGUACUGUACCCUUUGGUACUCCUAUGUAAUGAGAUAGCCACACCCCGUUUAGGGUGUCGAGCAGUUUCCCAAACUAUA
This is a long non-coding RNA of Triticum dicoccoides, 4310 nucleotides long. RefSeq lists it as uncharacterized. NCBI's taxonomy places the organism in Eukaryota, Viridiplantae, Streptophyta, Magnoliopsida, Poales, Poaceae. The record is from RefSeq and is a predicted model, not a curated record. The transcript has 5 exons.